UCUCUCUCCUCUCCUUCACUCACGUAAAACUCAAAGGAAACAAAAACCCUCUUUCCCUCUUCUUCCUGCUGCACGUGAACAAGAACCUCAAGCCCCUCUUCUCGUCGCCGCCGUCCAGCCGACCACCGUCGUCCUUUACCGAAGCCUCAGCCGCCGCCUCCGCGCCACCGCAGUAUCCGCCCAGUCAUUGCUGCGCCGCCGCGUCCUUCGCCCACACCAGAAACCUCUCCUCUCCCUUCUUUCUCCUCCACGCACGCAACGACAUUCCCUUCUCUCGUUGCUUCUUUCUUCCUGCCCCACAAACUCAGCCGUCGCUGCACGGCCACCGCAACCACCAGCAGCGUCACUCAGCCGCUGCACCACCUGCCCGCUUGUUGCCGCACCACCUUGUCCACCGGCAGCUUCUUGUUUUCUCUCUUUGGUGGAGAAUUCUCCGUAGGCGACUUUUGAAUU
Spinacia oleracea (spinach) is the source of this 453-nucleotide long non-coding RNA. RefSeq lists it as uncharacterized. The record is from RefSeq and is a predicted model, not a curated record. Lineage: Eukaryota; Viridiplantae; Streptophyta; Magnoliopsida; Caryophyllales; Amaranthaceae. The transcript is spliced from 3 exons.